AGCAUAUCAAUAAGCGGAGGAAAAGAAACUAACAAGGAUUCCCCUAGUAGCGGCGAGCGAAGCGGGAAGAGCUCAAAUUUAUAAUCUGGCACCUUCGGUGUCCGAGUUGUAAUCUCUAGAAAUGUUUUCCGCGUUGGACCGCACACAAGUCUGUUGGAAUACAGCGGCAUAGUGGUGAGACCCCCGUAUAUGGUGCGGACGCCCAGCGCUUUGUGAUACAUUUUCGAAGAGUCGAGUUGUUUGGGAAUGCAGCUCAAAUUGGGUGGUAAAUUCCAUCUAAAGCUAAAUAUUGGCGAGAGACCGAUAGCGAACAAGUACCGUGAGGGAAAGAUGAAAAGCACUUUGGAAAGAGAGUUAACAGUACGUGAAAUUGUUGGAAGGGAAACGCUUGAAGUCAGACUUGCUUGCCGAGCAAUCGGUUUGCAGGCCAGCAUCAGUUUUCCGGGAUGGAUAAUGGUAGAGAGAAGGUAGCAGUUUCGGCUGUGUUAUAGCUCUCUGCUGGAUACAUCUUGGGGGACUGAGGAACGCAGUGUGCCUUUGGCGGGGGUUUCGAC
RNAcentral lists this ribosomal RNA (554 nucleotides) under Rhodotorula mucilaginosa. Its description in RNAcentral is "LSU rRNA". It matches the Rfam family "Eukaryotic large subunit ribosomal RNA", at positions 37 to 587 of the family's 3401-position model. The record is from RNAcentral. Lineage: Eukaryota; Fungi; Basidiomycota; Microbotryomycetes; Sporidiobolales; Sporidiobolaceae.